Molecule: non-coding RNA, 73 nt
Organism: Myodes glareolus (Bank vole)
Lineage: Eukaryota; Metazoa; Chordata; Mammalia; Rodentia; Cricetidae
Source: the annotation of a RefSeq genome assembly
GCCCUGCUAGCUCAGUCAAUAGAGCAUGAGACUCCUAAUCUCAAGAUUGUGGGUUUGAGUCCCAUGUUGGGCG